Molecule: transfer RNA, 66 nt
Filed under: Eurynassa australis
Lineage: Eukaryota; Metazoa; Arthropoda; Insecta; Coleoptera; Cerambycidae
Description: tRNA-Cys
Source: RNAcentral
GGUUUUAUAGUCAAAGGAUGAUUUUAAAUUGCAAAUUUAAGGGUGGGGUUAUGGCUCCUAAAACCU